UUGACCUCGAAUCGAGGUAGGAAUACCCGCUGAACUUAAGCAUAUCAAUAAGCGGAGGAAAAGAAACCAACCGGGAUUACCUCAGUAACGGCGAGUGAAGCGGCAAUACGGAUGCAAUAGUCGUUACAAGGUUAGGACGGGGGGGAUCGAGAGGAAGUUAG
Molecule: ribosomal RNA, 161 nt
Filed under: Erysiphe paeoniae
Lineage: Eukaryota; Fungi; Ascomycota; Leotiomycetes; Helotiales; Erysiphaceae
Description: partial 28S ribosomal RNA
Rfam family: Eukaryotic large subunit ribosomal RNA
Source: RNAcentral